This 77-nucleotide transfer RNA is filed under the name Clostridia bacterium. Its description in RNAcentral is "tRNA-His". It matches the Rfam family "tRNA". Rfam says of the family: Transfer RNA (tRNA) molecules are approximately 80 nucleotides in length. Their secondary structure includes four short double-helical elements and three loops (D, anti-codon, and T loops). The record is from RNAcentral. Lineage: Bacteria; Bacillati; Bacillota; Clostridia.
GUGGGUAUAGCUCAGUUGGUUAGAGCGUCAGGUUGUGGCCCUGAAGGUCGAGGGUUCGAAUCUCUUUACUCACCCCA